RNAcentral lists this ribosomal RNA (435 nucleotides) under Triticum aestivum (bread wheat). Its description in RNAcentral is "partial small subunit ribosomal RNA". The record is from RNAcentral. Lineage: Eukaryota; Viridiplantae; Streptophyta; Magnoliopsida; Poales; Poaceae.
AGACAUCUGGCCUUAUACAACAUUGCUCGCAAUAAGAAUAAUAAUAUUGCGCAAGUGCCCAGUUCAUCCCCGCCGAAUAUUUCGUUUAGGCGGGAAUUGAUUGGCCCCCGACUUGUGUCAUGGCAUAAUCUUUUAUCCCGACUGGAUUCGAUUAACCUGACACAAGGCCGGGAUGUGUUUCGCUGGAACCUUACUACAUCUGGGUCUUUCACUGUACACUCUAUGUAUCGUGCGCUCACACAUUCUGAGGUACCAGUGAGUAAUAACAAGAAAAUUCGGAAGUCCAAGAUUCCACUAAAAGUGAAAAAUUUCAUGUGGUAUAUUCGUAAGGGAGUUGUGUUUACCAAAGACAAUCUCGCACGGUGCAACUGGCAAGGGAGUAAGAAGUGUUCUUUGUGUACUUAUGACGAGACAAUCAAACACCUCCUUUCCUAA